GAAUGGGGAAACCCAGUGUGAUUCGUCACACUAUCAUUAACUGAAUCCAUAGGUUAAUGAGGCGAACCGGGGGAACUGAAACAUCUAAGUACCCCGAGGAAAAGAAAUCAACCGAGAUUCCCCCAGUAGCGGCGAGCGAACGGGGAGCAGCCCAGAGCCUGAAUCAGUGUGUGUGUUAGUGGAAGCGUCUGGAAAGGCGCGCGAUACAGGGUGACAGCCCCGUACACAAAAAUGCACAUACUGUGAGCUCGAUGAGUAGGGCGGGACACGUGGUAUCCUGUCUGAAUAUGGGGGGACCAUCCUCCAAGGCUAAAUACUCCUGACUGACCGAUAGUGAACCAGUACCGUGAGGGAAAGGCGAAAAGAACCCCGGCGAGGGGAGUGAAAAAGAACCUGAAACCGUGUACGUACAAGCAGUGGGAGCACAGAGCAAUCUGUGUGACUGCGUACCUUUUG
Molecule: ribosomal RNA, 456 nt
Filed under: Escherichia coli
Lineage: Bacteria; Pseudomonadati; Pseudomonadota; Gammaproteobacteria; Enterobacterales; Enterobacteriaceae
Description: bacterial LSU rRNA
Rfam family: Bacterial large subunit ribosomal RNA
Source: RNAcentral